GUGCUCACUUUGGGAGCACAUAUACUAAAAUUGGAAUGAUACAGAGAAGAUUAGCAUGGCUCCCGUGCAAGGAUGGCAUGCAAAUUUGUGAAGUGUUGCAUAUUUUG
This 107-nucleotide small nuclear RNA is filed under the name Microcebus murinus (gray mouse lemur). The record is from RNAcentral. Lineage: Eukaryota; Metazoa; Chordata; Mammalia; Primates; Cheirogaleidae.